UACAGAGGUCCCAAGCGUUGUUCGGAUUCACUGGGCGUAAAGGGUGCGUAGGUGGUGAGGUAAGUCGGAUGUGAAAUCUCCGGGCUCAACCCGGAAAUGGCAUUGGAAACUACCUUGCUCGAGGAUUUGAGGGGGGAUUGGAAUACUUGGUGUAGCAGUGAAAUGCGUAGAUAUCAAGUGGAACACCAGUGGCGAAGGCGAAAUCCCUGGAAAAUACCUGACACUGAGGCACGAAAGCUAGGGGAGCAAACAGG
This 254-nucleotide ribosomal RNA is filed under the name uncultured bacterium. RNAcentral's name for it is "partial 16S ribosomal RNA". It matches the Rfam family "Bacterial small subunit ribosomal RNA", at positions 524 to 776 of the family's 1533-position model. The record is from RNAcentral.